This 253-nucleotide ribosomal RNA is filed under the name uncultured bacterium. RNAcentral's name for it is "partial 16S ribosomal RNA". It matches the Rfam family "Bacterial small subunit ribosomal RNA", at positions 524 to 776 of the family's 1533-position model. The record is from RNAcentral.
UACAGAGGGUGCGAGCGUUAAUCGGAAUUACUGGGCGUAAAGCGCGCGUAGGCGGCUUUGCAAGUCGAGUGUGAAAUCCCCAGGCUUAACCUGGGAACUGCAUUCGAGACUGCAUGGCUAGAGUAUGGGAGAGGGAAGUGGAAUUUCAGGUGUAGCGGUGAAAUGCGUAGAUAUCUGAAGGAACAUCAGUGGCGAGAGCGACUUCCUGGACCAAUACUGACGCUCAUGUGCGAAAGCGUGGGGAGCAAACAGG